This is a long non-coding RNA of Sarcophilus harrisii (Tasmanian devil), 2058 nucleotides long. The record is from Ensembl. NCBI's taxonomy places the organism in Eukaryota, Metazoa, Chordata, Mammalia, Dasyuromorphia, Dasyuridae.
CUUUUUUUAAUUUUGAAAAUUUAGAGGUAGUUUCUAGAACCCAGUAACAAUUCUACUCACAGUAAGAAGGGAGGGAAAGGGAAACUGGUAAAAAGAUGCUACAGUAGAAUGUGUUAAAUAAGUACAUAAUUUUCCAAGGUACUUGGCAAACGUUUAAAAUGUGGAAAUGCUUCCUCAACUUAAAUUGAAGAAGUGGGAAAUAAAUUACACUAAAGGGCAUUUGAGGUUCCUUAUAGGAAACAUUUGAAAGGAGCCAAGGUAUUGAGGUAGGUGGUACACAGCUUGAUAGUUUCCUAAGCUACCUACUACUUAUGUGCCUGUCAUUAAGAGAAUGUUAUGCUACCAAUAGUUUAUUUAGAUGGUAGCUGUGAAGCUUUCUCUGAUAUUAGUGAUUAUUUUCAAAAGCUCUUUUGUUUGCUGACUUAAAUGGGUUCUAUAUUGAGCCUUGGAAUGAAUGUAUAACCCCUUGAAGGAAAAUGGGACAUACAAUCCCCAGCACACUAGCUUUAAAAUAAGCUAGAUUGAUAGGAGUGAGACAUUUUAGUUUUGUCAUCUUGAUUAGUCCAAGCCAUAGGAUUAUAUUUGCUUCUCUAUCUGGACCAACUUAGUUGUAUGAACACGUAAAGCUUCUUUGUGUAAAACUUCUGUGUAAUGUCACAUAUUCAAAUGAUGGUAAUUUGAGAUCAAGUUAAGCAGAUACUUAAAAAGUUUUAGAGCCUUUUUUUUUUUUUUUUUUAAUUUUACCUUGUUAGCAAUAAAACUUUUUGCAUUUGCGUUGAUAUCUCUAGGAUAUACCUUUAUAUUCCCCAUAAGUUUGAUAGUCGAAUGUUAAAAGUAUGCAGGAAAGAUUAAUUUCCUCAUUUCAUCCUAAACUGACUUGGCUACCUAGCAGAAGUGGUUUUCCCAAUCUACUACUGUUCUGGUGACGAAAGUUAAUGCUACUGAUUGAUCUGUCACAUCAGGCAUACUCAUCUUGUCAGUCAUGCUUUAGUAAAUAUCUUUGUUGCCUACCUGCCUUUUCCUUGGAAUUUGUUCACUAAUUUGUCUAAUUCACAAUGGAAUCGCCACCAAAAGAUAAGUUUAAUUUUCCCUAACCUAUUCCAAAUCAGAAACAGGUGCUCCCCAAGAAGGUCUUUUCAUUUCACAACUCUGAAGAGGUGAUCCCAUUUGUUAACUUUAGGAGUUUGACCUUUUAAUCAUAACCUCAGGUUCUCAGACUUAAGUUUAUUGGCUUUUUCUUCAUGCUUUAACAAGCAUAGCCCAUAUCUCUAUAAAGUAUCCAGAAUCUCAUUUUUUCUCAGGCAAAAUUCCAUUUCAGUUUCUUCCAAAUUCCUUAGUUCAAUGGAUUGAUUUUUUUUUUUCCUUAGGCCUCUUUGUCUUGAGUUUUGACUUGACUAUGCACUCCUAAAUAUUCUACAUUUCUCACGAUUUGCCACUUUUUCUGGGUUUUCUGCUUAAUUUCCAGUCCUUAAUUCCCGACAGUAAAUGCUUUUAACAGUUGCUCUGUCUCUACCAGUUCAUCGCAGUCUCCAGUGUUAUUCUUUGUAACUGUUGGCAAUAUGCUUAUUAGGGUUUUCAGUCUUUUAAUCCACAUACGUGCUAAAUUGAUUUACCUAAUAACAUAGGUCCAAAAAUAUUUGUCUCCUUGUUGCUCUUAGAAUAAAAUAAGUAUAUUCUGCAAUUUAGAACUUGACCUAAUUUAGUCAAAUGUCCUUUUUCAAGCAUAUUUCGUAUUUCCCUUUACCUUUUUACCCCUUUAUUUCCUUCGAAUUCCUGCCUUUGUAUGAGAGGGACCCCAAGCCUGGUGGCUUUAAAAAAUCCAUUUCAUGUUCUACUUCCUAUAUUGACUUUCUUGAUAGCAAUCUUAAAUUAUAUAAGUAUACAUUGUUCUUGUUAUAUGUUUAGUCAAAGUAGCACAGGAAGGUACUGUUGCAUCUUUGUACCAACCAGCCCCGAGUACAGGCCUUUAUUUAAUAAAGUAUUAAUGGAAUUUCUUGAAUUGUUAUACUUUGUAAACAUGUAUAAAAUAUGUGAGAGGGCUGGGGAAAAAAACUGGUA